RNAcentral lists this ribosomal RNA (253 nucleotides) under uncultured bacterium. Its description in RNAcentral is "partial 16S ribosomal RNA". It matches the Rfam family "Bacterial small subunit ribosomal RNA", at positions 524 to 776 of the family's 1533-position model. The record is from RNAcentral.
UACGUAGGGGUCGAGCGUUGUCCGGAGUUACUGGGCGUAAAGCGCGCGCAGGCGGCUUUCUAAGUCAGGGGUGAAAUCCUGGAGCUCAACUCCAGAACUGCCUUUGAUACUGGAGAGCUUGAGUCCGGAAGAGGUGAGUGGAACUCCGGGUGUAGAGGUGAAAUUCGUAGAUAUUCGGAAGAACACCAGUGGCGAAGGCGGCUCACUGGUCCGGUACUGACGCUGAGGUGCGAAAGCGUGGGGAGCAAACAGG